RNAcentral lists this non-coding RNA (84 nucleotides) under Chloroflexota bacterium. RNAcentral's name for it is "Chloroflexi bacterium c-di-GMP sequence". It matches the Rfam family "c-di-GMP-I riboswitch aptamer". Rfam says of the family: GEMM was predicted in a large-scale screen for bacterial structured RNA regulatory elements. The record is from RNAcentral. Lineage: Bacteria; Bacillati; Chloroflexota.
GCUCCGAAAAGGCAAAACGGGUGAAAACCCGCGACGCAGAGUGAUGGGCCUACGGCCACACCCCUGGUGGCUAUGGCAGCCACA